CCUGGUGGCUUAGACGGUAAAGCGUCUGCCUACAAUGCGGGAGACCCGGGUUCGAUCCCGGGGUUAGGA
RNAcentral lists this transfer RNA (69 nucleotides) under Ovis aries (sheep). It matches the Rfam family "tRNA". Rfam says of the family: Transfer RNA (tRNA) molecules are approximately 80 nucleotides in length. Their secondary structure includes four short double-helical elements and three loops (D, anti-codon, and T loops). Further hydrogen bonds mediate the characteristic L-shaped molecular structure. tRNAs have two regions of fundamental functional importance: the anti-codon, which is responsible for specific mRNA codon recognition, and the 3' end, to which the tRNAs corresponding amino acid is attached (by aminoacyl-tRNA synthetases). tRNAs cope with the degeneracy of the genetic code in two manners: having more than one tRNA (with a specific anti-codon) for a particular amino acid; and 'wobble' base-pairing, i.e. permitting non-standard base-pairing at the 3rd anti-codon position. Lineage: Eukaryota; Metazoa; Chordata; Mammalia; Artiodactyla; Bovidae. The record is from Rfam by way of RNAcentral.